ACAGUGUUGGAAAGACUUCAAGC
Molecule: non-coding RNA, 23 nt
Filed under: Cricetulus griseus (Chinese hamster)
Lineage: Eukaryota; Metazoa; Chordata; Mammalia; Rodentia; Cricetidae
Source: RNAcentral